GCCUACGGGGGGCAGCAGUGGGGAAUAUUGCGCAAUGGGCGAAAGCCUGACGCAGCGACGCCGCGUGAGGGAUGAAGGUCUUCGGAUCGUAAACCUCUGUCAGCAGGGAAGAACGGUCACUGUGCUAAUCAGCAGUGAAUUGACGGUACCUGCAAAGGAAGCACCGGCUAACUCCGUGCCAGCAGCCGCGGUAAUACGGAGGGUGCGAGCGUUAAUCGGAAUUACUGGGCGUAAAGCGCUCGUAGGCGGUAUGUCAAGUCAAGGGUGAAAUCCCCGCGCUCAACGUGGGAACUGCCUUAGAAACG
Molecule: ribosomal RNA, 305 nt
Filed under: uncultured bacterium
Lineage: Bacteria
Description: bacterial SSU rRNA
Rfam family: Bacterial small subunit ribosomal RNA
Source: RNAcentral